Molecule: ribosomal RNA, 253 nt
Filed under: uncultured bacterium
Lineage: Bacteria
Description: partial 16S ribosomal RNA
Rfam family: Bacterial small subunit ribosomal RNA
Source: RNAcentral
UACGUAGGCAGCAAGCGUUGUUCGGAGUUACUGGGCGUAAAGGGUGUGUAGGCGGUCUUCUAAGUUUGGUGUGAAAUCUCCCGGCUCAACUGGGAGGGUGCGCCGAAAACUGGGAGGCUAGAGUACUGGAUGGGAGAGUGGAAUUCCUGGUGUAGCGGUGAAAUGCGUAGAUAUCGUAAGGAAGACCAGUGGCGAAGGCGGGUCUCUGGACAGUUCCUGACGCUGAGGCACGAAGGCCAGGGGAGCAAACGGG